UCCCUGAUAACUCAACUGGUAAAAAAAUCUGCCUGCAAUGCAGGAGACCCUGGUUCAAUUCCUGGUUUGGGAA
Molecule: transfer RNA, 73 nt
Organism: Ovis aries (sheep)
Lineage: Eukaryota; Metazoa; Chordata; Mammalia; Artiodactyla; Bovidae
Rfam family: tRNA
About the family: Transfer RNA (tRNA) molecules are approximately 80 nucleotides in length. Their secondary structure includes four short double-helical elements and three loops (D, anti-codon, and T loops). Further hydrogen bonds mediate the characteristic L-shaped molecular structure. tRNAs have two regions of fundamental functional importance: the anti-codon, which is responsible for specific mRNA codon recognition, and the 3' end, to which the tRNAs corresponding amino acid is attached (by aminoacyl-tRNA synthetases). tRNAs cope with the degeneracy of the genetic code in two manners: having more than one tRNA (with a specific anti-codon) for a particular amino acid; and 'wobble' base-pairing, i.e. permitting non-standard base-pairing at the 3rd anti-codon position.
Source: Rfam